RNAcentral lists this ribosomal RNA (494 nucleotides) under uncultured bacterium. Its description in RNAcentral is "partial 16S ribosomal RNA". It matches the Rfam family "Bacterial small subunit ribosomal RNA", at positions 28 to 507 of the family's 1533-position model. The record is from RNAcentral.
GACGAACGCUGGCGGCGUGCUUAACACAUGCAAGUCGAACGGUGAAGCGCCUUCCUUUUUGGUGGGUGUGGAUGAGUGGCGAACGGGUGAGUAACACGUGAGUAACCUGCCCCCUUCUUCUGGAUAACCGCAUGAAAGUGUGGCUAAUACGGGAUAUUCUGGGUCUGUCGCAUGAUGGGUCUGGGAAAGAUAUUGUUUCGGUGGGGGAUGGGCUCGCGGCCUAUCAGCUUGUUGGUGGGGUGAUGGCCUACCAAGGCGGUGACGGGUAGCCGGCCUGAGAGGGUGGACGGUCACACUGGGACUGAGACACGGCCCAGACUCCUACGGGAGGCAGCAGUGGGGAAUAUUGCACAAUGGGCGCAAGCCUGAUGCAGCGACGCCGCGUGAGGGAUGGAGGCCUGCGGGUUGUGAACCUCUUUCGCCAGUGAGGCAGGCCUGCCUCGUUUGUGGGUGGGUUGACGGUAGCUGGAUAAGAAGCGCCGGCUAACUACGUG